Oncorhynchus tshawytscha (Chinook salmon) is the source of this 485-nucleotide long non-coding RNA. NCBI's taxonomy places the organism in Eukaryota, Metazoa, Chordata, Actinopteri, Salmoniformes, Salmonidae. The record is from Ensembl.
GGUUGGCAGACCACUACAUUGCUGCCUGCUAUAUGAUGAGAGAGAUGAGAGAGAUGUGGGUUGGCAGACCACUACAUUGCUGCCUGCUAUAUGAUGAGAGAGAUGUGGGUUGGCAGACCACUACAUUGCUGCCUGCUAUAUGAUGAGAGAGAUGAUGGAGAUGUGGGUUGGCAGACCACUACAUUGCUGCCUGCUAUAUGAUGAGGGAGAUGAGAGAGAUGUGGGUUGGCUGACCACUACAUUGCUGCCUGCUAUAUGAUGAGGGAGAUGAGAGAGCUGUGGGUUGGCAGACCACUACAUUGCUGCCUGCUAUAUGAUGAGAGAGAUGUGGGUUGGCAGACCACUACAUUGCUGCCUGCUAUAUGAUGAGAGAGGUCAGGGGGGGGAGACUAUAGUGCAGCUCACUAUAACAGACUAUAAACCGUCUCUCUAAGGUCAGUGGGGGGACUAUAGUGCAGCUCACUAUAACAGACUAUAAACCGUCU